This 74-nucleotide transfer RNA is filed under the name Spirochaetes bacterium ADurb.BinA120. Its description in RNAcentral is "tRNA-Gln". It matches the Rfam family "tRNA". From Rfam's summary of the family: Transfer RNA (tRNA) molecules are approximately 80 nucleotides in length. Their secondary structure includes four short double-helical elements and three loops (D, anti-codon, and T loops). Further hydrogen bonds mediate the characteristic L-shaped molecular structure. tRNAs have two regions of fundamental functional importance: the anti-codon, which is responsible for specific mRNA codon recognition, and the 3' end, to which the tRNAs corresponding amino acid is attached (by aminoacyl-tRNA synthetases). tRNAs cope with the degeneracy of the genetic code in two manners: having more than one tRNA (with a specific anti-codon) for a particular amino acid; and 'wobble' base-pairing, i.e. permitting non-standard base-pairing at the 3rd anti-codon position. The record is from RNAcentral. Lineage: Bacteria; Pseudomonadati; Spirochaetota.
UGCCCGGUGGUGUAACUGGCAACACGUCUGGCUCUGGACCAGAAAUGUCUAGGUUCGAACCCUAGCCGGGCAGC